This 1440-nucleotide ribosomal RNA is filed under the name Triticum aestivum (bread wheat). RNAcentral's name for it is "partial small subunit ribosomal RNA". Lineage: Eukaryota; Viridiplantae; Streptophyta; Magnoliopsida; Poales; Poaceae. The record is from RNAcentral.
AUGGGGGCAACCGCUGACCAGGUGCGAGUUCUCAGCGUCACCCACGUCCAGCCUGACCACCACCAGAGCACCAACCUGCGGCCGCCGGCCGACGAGCACGCCAUCAUGAAGCUCUCCUUCCUCGACUCCUUCCACGUCGCCACGGGGCCGAUCCAGCGCCUCUUCUUCUACGACGGCCCCGGCCUCCCGCCGUUCCCGUCCGUCGUCAGCUCGCUCCGCUCCUCCCUGGCUGCCACGCUGCCGAUCUUCCUCCCGCUCGCCGGCAAGCUGGCCUUCCGGCUCUCCUCCAGCGACGUCGUGGUGGACUGCUCCCCCUCAGCCGUCUCAUCCUCGGGCGUCAAGUUCGUGGAGGCAGAGUUCCUGGGAGGCGCCGACGCCUUGCGCCGCCUCGCCGGCGACGACGAGCACGACACCGAGGCGUUCGCGCGGCUGGUGCCGGAACUCGAUGAUGCCGGGAAGCUUCCAGCGCCGGUGCUCGCGGUUCAGGUCACGAGGCCGGAUGGCGACGGCGGAGGCGUGGUGGCCGUGGGCGUGUCCCUCCACCACGCCGUGGCCGAUGGCAAGUCGUUUUGGCAGUUUAUGAGGUGGUGGUCAGCCGCGUCGCGUGGAGACUUGCUCGCCGCCACGCCGGACGACCUCGUGCCGCCGUCGUUCGACCGGACGGCGAUUCGCCACCCCAGGGAAGAGGAGCUCACCGCCUGGAUAUUGAGCUUUAGAGCGCCAAUGCUUCCUACGCUCGGACGGCGGUUGUCGAUGGGUACUGUGUGCCGGCGCACCAGAACCUUCCGCCUCGUCGCCGACGAGAUCCAAUCGCUGAAGCGGCGCAUUUCACAACAGCUGCCCAAACCGGCAAGCACCUACGUCGCCAUCUCGUCCCUGGCCUGGACGUGCAUCGUCGGCGCCAAGACGUCUUCACACAUGAUCCAUGAUGACGACGACGCCUUCUUGAUGGUGCACGCGGACUGCCGUGGCCGUCUCCGCGGGCCCCCGAUCAACGAGGGCUUCUUCGGGAACUGUGUCAAGCCAUGCUACGCGAGAGCCAGAGCGGCGGACCUGAUGCCACCGCGCCGCCUUGGUGAGCACAUCGACGGCCUUGCAUGCGCCGCCGCGGCUAUCCAGGAGGCGAUCCGCGACGGCUUGGAGGCGACAGGCGAGAACCCGUUCCCCGACUUUGGGGAGGUGCUGAAGUACCACAUGGCGCUGCCGCCGGGGAGGGCAAGCACGGUGGGGUCGUCUCACCGGUUCAUGGCGUAUGAGACGGACUUCGGUUGGGGCCCACCUAGCCGCGUCGAGCUGGCGUCCAUCUUCGGGAGCGGCGACUUGGUGGCGCUGCUCGGAGCGAGGGACGGCGGCGUGCAGGUCUCGGUGACGCUCGACGGGGCGUGCAUGGAUGCCUUCGCCCCUGAUUUCAUCGGCAUCAUCAACGGCUUGAAAUUCUAG